This 442-nucleotide ribosomal RNA is filed under the name uncultured bacterium. RNAcentral's name for it is "bacterial SSU rRNA". It matches the Rfam family "Bacterial small subunit ribosomal RNA", at positions 29 to 506 of the family's 1533-position model. The record is from RNAcentral.
ACGAACGCUGGCGGCAUGCCUAACACAUGCAAGUCGAACGAAGCCCUGACUUCGGUUGGGUGCUUAGUGGCGCACGGGUGCGUAACGCGUGGGAAUCUGCCCUUCGGUUCGGAAUAACAGUUAGAAAUGACUGCUAAUACCGGAUGACGACGAAAGUCCAAAGAUUUAUCGCCGAGGGAUGAGCCCGCGUAGGAUUAGGUAGUUGGUGGGGUAAUGGCCUACCAAGCCGACGAUCCUUAGCUGGUCUGAGAGGAUGAUCAGCCACACUGGGACUGAGACACGGCCCAGACUCCUACGGGAGGCAGCAGUGGGGAAUAUUGGACAAUGGGCGAAAGCCUGAUCCAGCAAUGCCGCGUGAGUGAUGAAGGCCUUAGGGUUGUAAAGCUCUUUUACCCGGGAUGAUAAUGACAGUACCGGGAGAAUAAGCUCCGGCUAACUCCGU